Molecule: long non-coding RNA, 259 nt
Filed under: Musa acuminata (dwarf banana)
Lineage: Eukaryota; Viridiplantae; Streptophyta; Magnoliopsida; Zingiberales; Musaceae
Description: long non-coding RNA (MACU_LNC000484)
Source: RNAcentral
CAAAGGAGAAUCUAUUUUAAAUAAUUAUAUGAUGGGGUAGGAUGAUAUUGUUUUGAAUAUUCUUGCAGUUUAGGGUUGUAUACCCAAAGGUAACAACACUAUUCCACAAGAAUGGUAUCAGUCCUCCAUAAGUGAUUUUGAGUGAACACUAGAUAUGUCAAUAUUUCACCCAAAGGUGAAAUAUAGACGAUAUCAAUAGUUCAUCAUAUUUUGGAAACUCAAAGCAUUAAUGUUAUAUUAUUACUGUGGCACUUCCUUU